Molecule: ribosomal RNA, 497 nt
Filed under: uncultured bacterium
Lineage: Bacteria
Description: partial 16S ribosomal RNA
Rfam family: Bacterial small subunit ribosomal RNA
Source: RNAcentral
GAUGAACGCUGGCGGCGUGCCUAAUACAUGCAAGUCGAGCGAACGGACGAGAAGCUUGCUUCUCUGAUGUUAGCGGCGGACGGGUGAGUAACACGUGGAUAACCUACCUAUAAGACUGGGAUAACUUCGGGAAACCGGAGCUAAUACCGGAUAAUAUUUUGAACCGCAUGGUUCAAAAGUAAAAGACGGUCUUGCUGUCACUUAUAGAUGGAUCCGCGCUGCAUUAGCUAGUUGGUAAGGUAACGGCUUACCAAGGCAACGAUGCAUAGCCGACCUGAGAGGGUGAUCAGCCACACUGGAACUGAGACACGGUCCAGACUACUACAGGAGGCAGCAGUAGGGAAUCCUCCGCAAUGUGCGAAAGCCUGACGGAGCAACGCCGCGUGAGUGAUGAAGGUCUUCGGAUCGUAGAACUCUGUUAUUAGGGAAGAACAUAUGUGUAAGUAACUGUGCACAUCUUGAGGGUACCUAAUCAGAAAGCCACGGCUAACUGCGUG